This 373-nucleotide ribosomal RNA is filed under the name uncultured organism. Its description in RNAcentral is "partial 16S ribosomal RNA". It matches the Rfam family "Bacterial small subunit ribosomal RNA", at positions 528 to 896 of the family's 1533-position model. The record is from RNAcentral.
GGGGGGGCAAGCGUUUGUUCGGAUUUACUGGGCGUAAAGGGCUCGUAGGCGGCCAUCUAAGUCGGUUGUGAAAUCCCUCGGCUCAACCGGGGAACUGCGACCGAUACUGGAUGGCUUGAAGCCGGGAGAGGGAUGCGGAAUUCCAGGUGUAGCGUUGAAAUGCGUAGAUAUCUGGAGGAACACCCGUGGCGAAGGCGGCAUCCUGGACCGGUCUUGACGCUGAGGAGCGAAAGCUAGGGGAGCAAACGGGAUUAGAUACCCCGGGUAGUCCUAGCCGUAAACGAUGAAUGCUUGGUGUGGCGGGUAUCGAUCCCCUGCCGUGCCGUAGCUAACGCGUUAAGCAUUCCGCCUUGGGAGUACGGUCGCAAGGCUG